Sodiomyces alkalinus F11 is the source of this 92-nucleotide non-coding RNA. The record is from the annotation of a RefSeq genome assembly. Lineage: Eukaryota; Fungi; Ascomycota; Sordariomycetes; Glomerellales; Plectosphaerellaceae.
GACGAAAUGGCCGAGGGGUUAUGGCGUUUGGCUUAAGUUGUACUUAUUCCAAAUCCCGCAAGGGGUCGUGGGUUCGAAUCCCACUUUCGUCA